This 250-nucleotide ribosomal RNA is filed under the name uncultured Alphaproteobacteria bacterium. RNAcentral describes it as "partial 16S ribosomal RNA". It matches the Rfam family "Bacterial small subunit ribosomal RNA", at positions 524 to 773 of the family's 1533-position model. Lineage: Bacteria; Pseudomonadati; Pseudomonadota; Alphaproteobacteria. The record is from RNAcentral.
UACGAAGGGGGCUAGCGUUGUUCGGAAUUACUGGGCGUAAAGCGCACGUAGGCGGAUAUUUAAGUCAGGGGUGAAAUCCCGGGGCUCAACCCCGGAACUGCCUUUGAUACUGGGUAUCUCGAGUCCGAGAGAGGUGAGUGGAAUUCCGAGUGUAGAGGUGAAAUUCGUAGAUAUUCGGAGGAACACCAGUGGCGAAGGCGGCUCACUGGCUCGGUACUGACGCUGAGGUGCGAAAGCGUGGGGAGCAAAC